GGAGACUUACAGUGUUAAGACGAUACCGAUCUUGUGAUUUUUUCCCAAGUCUCCGCAAACUAAUCUCAAAUUAGUCAGUCUAUAGCCUAAAACUUUCAAGAAGAUGCAUUUUUUUUAAUUUAGCAACUAAAAACCAAAAACAGAGAAAAACUGAAAAACAAAAUAAACAAAACAAAACAAAUAAAUGGUUCCCUCCCCCACACUUAAAACAUACAUUGUCCUCAAUGAAAUACCAUAAAUAUAAAAU
RNAcentral lists this long non-coding RNA (247 nucleotides) under Lathyrus oleraceus (garden pea). Its description in RNAcentral is "Pisum sativum (pea) long non-coding RNA (PSAT_LNC026545)". Lineage: Eukaryota; Viridiplantae; Streptophyta; Magnoliopsida; Fabales; Fabaceae. The record is from RNAcentral.